AAACUCAUAAGUAAUCUAAUUAUGAUUCUAGAAAUUUAUAAAGCAAAAAAAUGAUAAAAUAAAGAGUGAAAAUGUAAAGCAUUGUCUAUAAGUAGUCUCAACUCAACCGCAUACUUCUUUUUGGAACAAAUGGAAUUGGUAACAAUUUAAUAGUUCCCUUCUACUAUGACUUAUCGUAUACCCAUCCCACUUGAUAUCUCC
Molecule: long non-coding RNA, 201 nt
Filed under: Carica papaya (papaya)
Lineage: Eukaryota; Viridiplantae; Streptophyta; Magnoliopsida; Brassicales; Caricaceae
Description: long non-coding RNA (CPAP_LNC000886)
Source: RNAcentral